UACGUAGGGGGCAAGCGUUGUCCGGAUUUAUUGGGCGUAAAGAGCUCGUAGGCGGUUCCGUAAGUCGUGAAGUCAAAUCUCUGGGCUCAACCCAGAAUCGCUUCCGAUACUGCGGUGACUGGAGUCCGGUAGGGGAGUGUGGAAUUCCUGGUGUAGCGGUGAAAUGCGCAGAUAUCAGGAGGAACACCAACAGCGAAGGCAGCACUCUGGGCCGGUACUGACGCUGAGGAGCGAAAGCAUGGGGAGCGAACCGG
Molecule: ribosomal RNA, 254 nt
Filed under: uncultured bacterium
Lineage: Bacteria
Description: partial 16S ribosomal RNA
Rfam family: Bacterial small subunit ribosomal RNA
Source: RNAcentral